This 29-nucleotide non-coding RNA is filed under the name Rattus norvegicus (Norway rat). The record is from RNAcentral. Lineage: Eukaryota; Metazoa; Chordata; Mammalia; Rodentia; Muridae.
UGUCAUUAAAUUCACUAAGGUCCUAUUGU